RNAcentral lists this ribosomal RNA (1625 nucleotides) under Paracassidina dama. Its description in RNAcentral is "SSU rRNA". It matches the Rfam family "Eukaryotic small subunit ribosomal RNA", at positions 28 to 1471 of the family's 1831-position model. The record is from RNAcentral. Lineage: Eukaryota; Metazoa; Arthropoda; Malacostraca; Isopoda; Sphaeromatidae.
UUGCUUGUCUCAAAGAUUAAGCCAUGCAUGUCUAAGUACAGGCCGACCCAAGGCGAAACCGCAAAUGGCUCAUUAAAUCAGUCAUGAUUCAUUGGAUGUUGUAAAACCCUUUACUCGGAUAACUGUGGUAAUUCUAGAGCUAAUACGUGCAAUCGAGCUCCGACCCCGCCGUCAAAGGCGGGGGAAGGGCGCAGUUAUUAGAUUCAAAACCGGGCGGACUUCGGUCUGUCUCCCAAAAAGAGGUUCUGAUGACUCUGAAUAACCUAGCCGAGCGCUGAGGCCUUGAGAGCCGGCGCCGUAUCCUCCGAGUGUCUGCCUUAUCAGCUGUCGAUUGUAGGUUAUACGCCUACAAUGGCUGUAACGGGUAACGGGGAAUCGGGGUUCGAUUCCGGAGAGGGAGCCUGAGAAACGGCUACCACAUCUAAGGAAGGCAGCAGGCACGCAAAUUACCCACUCCCGGCUCGGGGAGGUAGUGACGAAAAAUAACGAUGCGGGACUCUUCCGAGGCCUCGCAAUCGGAAUGAGUCCACUCUAAACACUUGGACGAGGAUCCAUUGGAGGGCAAGUCUGGUGCCAGCAGCCGCGGUAAUUCCAGCUCCAAUAGCGUAUAUUAAAGUUGUUGCGGUUAAUUUNGAUUNAGAGUGGGUNNAANCNGGCAAUNAUUUAUCCCNUAAAGNUCGGCNCANGNAANGNGGNNAUGGNCNNUGGUUUCCNCAUUUUUNUUNGGUUUUCCGAACCCGAGGUAAUGAUUAACGGNAACGGACGGGGGCAUUAGUAUUGCGACGCUAGAGGUGAAAUUCUUGGACCGUCGCAAGACUAACUACUGCGAAAGCAUUUGCCAAGAACGCUUUCAUUAAUCAAGAACGAAAGUUAGAGGAUCGAAGGCGAUCAGAUACCGCCCUAGUUCUAACCUUAAACGAUGCUAACUGGCGAUCCGCUUAAGUCAUUCCCACGACUGAGCGGGNAGCCCCCGGGAAACCAAAGUNUUUGAGUUCCGGGGGAAGUAUGGUUGCAAAGCUGAAACUUAAAGGAAUUGACGGAAGGGCACCACCAGGAGUGGAGCCUGCGGCUUAAUUUGACUCAACACGGGAAACCUCACCAGGCCCGGACACCGGAAGGAUUGACAGAUUGAGAGCUCUUUCUCGAUUCGGUGGGUGGUGGUGCAUGGCCGUUCUUAGUUGGUGGAGCGAUCUGUCUGGUUGAUUCCGAUAACGAACGAGACUCUACCCUGCUAACUAGUCGGUGGAUCGUCUCCCGAGACGGGCCCUACUUGGGGCGUUCGGCUCUAUAUCGCGGCUCUCCGCUCUCGGGGUCGGUCGUUUCACGCGAGUGCCCGGUUAAAGUCGAGGUGAGCGCCGGUGUAUCGGCCGCGCGCGCGUGGGUGUCGGUUUCGCCAAAAGCGGUAUCGGCGCUCGCGCGCUCGCGGGACUUUCCCGGCCUCCUCCCUCGGCCCCGAGUACGUUUGCGUGGGCGGCAUUCGGCCUCGAGGGUUUUCGCGAGGGUCACGGCACGGGCCGGCGUUCCGCUCGUAAGGCUCAGCGAGGGGCGUCCGUCGCAACAUCUUCUUAGAGGGAUCGGCGGCGUCCAGCCGCACGAGAGAGAGCAAUAACAGGUCUGGUGAUGCA